Molecule: ribosomal RNA, 460 nt
Filed under: uncultured bacterium
Lineage: Bacteria
Description: partial 16S ribosomal RNA
Rfam family: Bacterial small subunit ribosomal RNA
Source: RNAcentral
CCUACGGGAGGCAGCAGUGAGGAAUAUUGGUCAAUGGACGAGAGUCUGAACCAGCCAAGUAGCGUGAAGGAUGAUUGCCCUAUGGGUUGUAAACUUCUUUUAUAUGGGAAUAAAAUGUUCCACGUGUGGGAUUUUGUAUGUACCAUAUGAAUAAGGAUCGGCUAACUCCGUGCCAGCAGCCGCGGUAAUACGGAGGAUCCGAGCGUUAUCCGGAUUUAUUGGGUUUAAAGGGAGCGUAGGUGGAUUGUUAAGUCAGUUGUGAAAGUUUGCGGCUCAACCGUAAAAUUGCAGUUGAAACUGGCAGGCUUGAGUACAGUAGAGGUGGGCGGAAUUCGUGGUGUAGCGGUGAAAUGCUUAGAUAUCACGAAGAACUCCGAUUGCGAAGGCAGCUCACUGGACUGCAACUGACACUGAGGCUCGAAAGUGUGGGUAUCAAACAGGAUUAGAUACCCCAGUAGUC